RNAcentral lists this ribosomal RNA (454 nucleotides) under uncultured bacterium. RNAcentral's name for it is "partial 16S ribosomal RNA". It matches the Rfam family "Bacterial small subunit ribosomal RNA", at positions 28 to 507 of the family's 1533-position model. The record is from RNAcentral.
GAUGAACGCUGACAGAAUGCUUAACACAUGCAAGUCAACUUGAACUUCGGUUUGUGUGGCGGACGGGUGAGUAACGCGUAAAGAACUUGCCUCACAGCUAGGGACAACAUUUGGAAACGAAUGCUAAUACCUGAUAUUAUGAUUUUAGGGCAUCCUAGAAUUAUGAAAGCUAUAUGCGCUGUGAGAGAGCUUUGCGUCCCAUUAGCUAGUUGGAGAGGUAACGGCUCACCAAGGCGAUGAUGGGUAGCCGGCCUGAGAGGGUGAACGGCCACAAGGGGACUGAGACACGGCCCUUACUCAUACGGGAGGCAGCAGUGGGGAAUAUUGGACAAUGGACCAAGAGUCUGAUCCAGCAAUUCUGUGUGCACGAUGAAGUUUUUCGGAAUGUAAAGUGCUUUCAGUUGGGAAGAAAAAAAUGACGGUACCAACAGAAGAAGUGACGGCUAAAUACGUG